This is a non-coding RNA of Drosophila bipectinata, 3123 nucleotides long. The record is from RefSeq and is a predicted model, not a curated record. NCBI's taxonomy places the organism in Eukaryota, Metazoa, Arthropoda, Insecta, Diptera, Drosophilidae.
GGUAAGCUGGUCACACUCAACGCCAACGAAGCUCCAUAAAAACUACUUUUGCCAAAACAAUUGGAAAAUCGAGUAGCAAAAGAGCAAUACCGCUGAGCACCGCUGCGGUAGAAAUUAGUGGCGUUCACAUAACUUAUCAUCUACGUUGAUGUGCCGUAGUGCCGUACACCUAACUUAUUAUUUACGUAGAUAAAGUUGGUGCUCCAAAAUACUCGACUGACGCUGCUGCCAACGAAGUUUCUUUUCGCCAAGUGUGCGUGUGCCGCGUUGCAAUUUUCGUUUUGCCAAACGAGUAUAUUAGAUACAGAUCCGCGAAUCUGAAUUAAAAAAAAACCGGCGGGAACGAGGAGAGAACGGGUGAAUGUCGCAGAAACAUCAAAAGCAAUCCUACCAGCCGCUACCCACUGCGGCCGCCAUGGAUAAUCCCGCAAUGAGCCAGAGCAGCAGUAGCGGCGUAAGCAGUAGGAACGGUAGCCGCGAGGAUGUUGCCAACUUGGCCCCCAUCGGACUGCCUGCCACAUACUCAUCGCAGCAGCUGAUGCCUUCAGACUCAGACAGCAUGGAGGAGGAGAGACAUCGACUACGCCCCCCUCACCCAUCGGGGGAUCACAUUAUGCCGCACCCGGCCGUGCCCCUUAGACUGAGUGCGGUUAGGGGGUCGGAGUGGUUCGUGGUGUCGACACUCUGCUUCGUCAACCUCAUCAACUAUAUGGACCGUUUUACGAUUGCCGGAGUGCUGACGGACGUGCGGGAUGACUUCAAGAUUGGAAACGACCAGGCUGGACUGCUUCAGACCGUGUUCGUCAUCUCGUACAUGGUCUGCGCCCCGAUCUUUGGCUAUCUGGGCGAUCGUUACUCCCGGCCCUGGAUUAUGGCGGUGGGUGUGGCGUUGUGGAGCACAACGACCUUCUUGGGAUCGUACAUGCAGGACUUUGGAUGGUUCAUCACGUUCCGGGCGCUGGUGGGGAUCGGAGAAGCCUCCUAUAGCACCAUUGCUCCGACCAUCAUCUCGGAUCUGUUCGUCUCGGACAUGCGCUCCAAGAUGCUGGCGAUGUUCUACUUUGCCAUUCCCGUGGGAUCCGGUCUGGGGUACAUCGUUGGCUCCAAGACAGCUCACCUGGCCAACAACUGGCGCUGGGCCUUGAGGGUCACCCCCAUUCUGGGUGUCAUUGCCGUGCUGCUGAUAUUCCUCAUCAAGGACCCGCCCCGUGGUCACAGCGAGGGAUCCCAGAACCUGGAGGCCACCACCUACAAACAGGACAUUUGCGAGCUGUUGAAGAAUCGCUCCUUCAUGCUCUCCACGGCUGGCUUCACCUGCGUCGCCUUUGUGGCCGGUGCCUUGGCGUGGUGGGGUCCUUCCUUCAUCUAUCUAGGCAUGAAGAUGCAGCCGGGCAACGAUGAUCUGGUCCAAGACGACAUCUCAUAUAUGUUCGGCAUUGUGGCCAUGUUGGCCGGCUUGAUCGGCGUUCCGCUGGGCUCCAUACUGGCCCAACGACUACGCGGUCCGUAUCCCAAGUGCGAUCCGUACAUCUGUGCGGCGGGACUCAUCAUCUCGGCGCCCAUGGUCUUUGCCGCUCUGGUGAUGCCCCAGAAGAGCGAGGUCUGGUGCUACUUCUUCGUGUUUGUGGCCCAGGUGGCCCUCAACCUGUGCUGGUCGAUAGUCGCCGACAUGCUCCUGUAUGUUGUUGUUCCUACACGUCGAUCCACGGCUGAGGCCUUCCAGAUCCUGAUUUCGCAUGCCCUGGGUGAUGCCGGCAGUCCCUACCUGGUGGGAGCGAUGUCUGAGGCCAUCAUGAAACACUUGCAGAAGAAUCCCGGCGAUUCUGGUUUGUCCACUGAAAUGGAAAGUAUGUCUCAGGUGGUAGAGACCACGACCAUUACUGUUAAAGGACUAAUCGAAGAAGGUGCCGCUAAACUGGCAGACACCUUGAGCUUGACCGCGGAAAAAAGAGCCGGAGAGUUCUCGGAAGUAGUCCAGUUCGAAGGAUUGCAGUAUGCCCUGUUCUCCACCAGCUUUGUGGAAGUUCUGGGGGGUAUUUUCUUCUUGAUCACAGCCUGCUUCAUCAUCAAGGACAGGCAAAAGGCCUCCCAAGGCGUCUGUGGAUCCUCGGAGGCAGAGCGAUCGUCACAUGCCUUGGCCAGCGGUCAGAAGGACAUAGAGUCCUUCAACUCAGACUACCUGGUCCUGUGCACUGAUAUCGCUCUCCGCGAACGCACGUGAUAACAGCACAGUAGUCAGGUGUGGAAGUAUGUGCUCAGCACAUAUGUAUCACGUGAAUGUAUUUUGGCCCCAGUUUCCGACGCCGCGUCCCAGCAACAGCCGCCGCGACGGGAGCAGAAUGUUGCCUAAUACCAGCCGAUCCUUGAGGUUAUGCUGCGCACUCAGAGCUCCAACGAUGCGCUGCAGGCUGAACAUAUUCUGACUGAAAACCAUCUUUAGUUUAAGCUCUCACCAAGCUCAUCAUCAGCAGUACACCUCAGUACACCAUGCCAUCAUAGACAAUGGCGGGGAAUUCUGUCGCAUUCUGUUCGUCGAAGGUUCCCCUUGUGAUGUUCCUAUUAGGAGGGAAAUAUCGAUCGGAUUGAACGGACUGUGGUCGUCGUGGAUGAAGAACCAAGCACGAACUACUUCUCCGUUUGUAUAGAUAUAUGCAAAGACACUCUCUCACAUGCACCCGAGUCAUAGCAUUACUCCGAAACAGUAGUGAUGCAACAGUAGUCGUACAUAUAUGUAUCUAGUUUUGGUAUUUUAGGCUAAAUCGAAAUUCAGGAGGGAGCAACUGUUUUAAUGCAUUUGAAACUGAUUCGAUCAAAGUACAUACAUAUAUCAGUCGUGGGCAGUCGAAUGCAGAAUGUGUCAAAAGUGCCUACUAUGCUAAAAUUGUUCAAUGCUUUUAUGUAUAUUAUGACACGACUUGUAAAUAUAUUUAAGAAUAUACCGGGCCAUUGGAUAAGUGCAUAGUUUGUAAUAUCGAUAGUUUUCCUCUAAUUUUAUAUAUAUAUAUUUUAAUCGUAGCUUUACUUAGUUAGACCCGUAACAAAUUGGAGAUAUGCCUGCACCCUCAAAAAUUACUGAAUAUUACAGAUUAAUUAUAUUAUAAACCAAGAAACUAAACAAAUUAA